GCCGAACGCUGGCGGCGUGCUUAACACAUGCAAGUCGAACGGUAAGGCCCUUCGGGGUACACGAGUGGCAGCCGGGUAAUUACCACGUGGGUGCUCUGCCCUGCACUUCGGGAUGAGCCUGGCAAACUGGAUCUAACACCGGAUUGGACCAUGCGCCUCACGGUGUGUGGUGGAAAGCUUUUGCGGUGUGGGAUGGGCCCGCGGCCUAUCAGCUUGUUGGUGGGGUAAUGGCCUACCAAGGCGACGACGGGUAGCCGGCCUGAGAGGGUGACCGGCCACACUGGGACUGAGAUACGGCCCAGACUCCUACGGGAGGCAGCAGUGGGGAAUAUUGCACAAUGGGCGCAAGCCUGAUGCAGCGAGGCCGCGUGAGGGAUGACGGCCUUCGGGUUGUAAACCUCUUUCAGUAGGGACGAAGCGCAAGUGACGGUACCUACAGAAGAAGGACCGGCCAACUACGUGCCAGCAGCCGCCGCCG
Molecule: ribosomal RNA, 478 nt
Filed under: uncultured bacterium
Lineage: Bacteria
Description: partial 16S ribosomal RNA
Rfam family: Bacterial small subunit ribosomal RNA
Source: RNAcentral